Molecule: long non-coding RNA, 300 nt
Filed under: Gossypium barbadense (sea-island cotton)
Lineage: Eukaryota; Viridiplantae; Streptophyta; Magnoliopsida; Malvales; Malvaceae
Description: long non-coding RNA (GBAR_LNC006741)
Source: RNAcentral
CUAACAGGUGUUUCUUAUAAUCAAUAAUGUGUUUGCUCUUGAUACCUUAAACCUUAGCUUAGAAACUAUUGUCUAAUGGGGUUGUUUAUGGAGAAGAGCAAUAUGAUAACUAAGGUAAAAAUUAAGAAGAUAAAAGGUAAAUGAAAAAUAAAAACAAGAAUGAUAUGAAUUCAACUGAAAAUACAAAGUGAAACUUGAAAUUGGAGUAAAUACUUCAAUUUAUAUACAUGAAAAAUAACUAAAAAUAGCAUCAUGGUCCACUAAUUUAUUCAUGUUCAACAUGUAACGUGACUAACUACC